UACGUAGGGUGCGAGCGUUAAUCGGAAUUACUGGGCGUAAAGCGUGCGCAGGCGGUUCGUUAAGUCAGAUGUGAAAGCCCCGGGCUCAACCUGGGAACUGCAUUUGAAACUGGCGGGCUUGAGUAUGGCAGAGGGGGGUGGAAUUCCGCGUGUAGCAGUGAAAUGCGUAGAGAUGCGGAGGAACACCGAUGGCGAAGGCAGCCCCCUGGGCCAAUACUGACGCUCAGGCGCGAAAGCGUGGGGAGCAAACAGG
Molecule: ribosomal RNA, 253 nt
Filed under: uncultured bacterium
Lineage: Bacteria
Description: partial 16S ribosomal RNA
Rfam family: Bacterial small subunit ribosomal RNA
Source: RNAcentral